This 1419-nucleotide ribosomal RNA is filed under the name Salmonella enterica. RNAcentral describes it as "partial 23S ribosomal RNA". It matches the Rfam family "Bacterial large subunit ribosomal RNA", at positions 1400 to 2802 of the family's 2925-position model. The record is from RNAcentral. Lineage: Bacteria; Pseudomonadati; Pseudomonadota; Gammaproteobacteria; Enterobacterales; Enterobacteriaceae.
GGCCGAAAGGCGUAGUCGAUGGGAAACGGGUUAAUAUUCCCGUACUUGGUGUUACUGCGAAGGGGGGACGGAGAAGGCUAUGUUGGCCGGGCGACGGUUGUCCCGGUUUAAGCGUGUAGGUGUGUGUUCCAGGUAAAUCCGGUUCACUUUAACACUGAGGCGUGAUGACGAGGCACUACGGUGCUGAAGCAACAAAUGCCCUGCUUCCAGGAAAAGCCUCUAAGCAUCAGGUAACAUCAAAUCGUACCCCAAACCGACACAGGUGGUCAGGUAGAGAAUACCAAGGCGCUUGAGAGAACUCGGGUGAAGGAACUAGGCAAAAUGGUGCCGUAACUUCGGGAGAAGGCACGCUGACACGUAGGUGAAGUGAUUUACUCAUGGAGCUGAAGUCAGUCGAAGAUACCAGCUGGCUGCAACUGUUUAUUAAAAACACAGCACUGUGCAAACACGAAAGUGGACGUAUACGGUGUGACGCCUGCCCGGUGCCGGAAGGUUAAUUGAUGGGGUCAGCGCAAGCGAAGCUCCUGAUCGAAGCCCCGGUAAACGGCGGCCGUAACUAUAACGGUCCUAAGGUAGCGAAAUUCCUUGUCGGGUAAGUUCCGACCUGCACGAAUGGCGUAAUGAUGGCCAGGCUGUCUCCACCCGAGACUCAGUGAAAUUGAACUCGCUGUGAAGAUGCAGUGUACCCGCGGCAAGACGGAAAGACCCCGUGAACCUUUACUAUAGCUUGACACUGAACAUUGAGCCUUGAUGUGUAGGAUAGGUGGGAGGCUUUGAAGUGUGGACGCCAGUCUGCAUGGAGCCGACCUUGAAAUACCACCCUUUAAUGUUUGAUGUUCUAACGUGGACCCGUUACCCGGGUUGCGGACAGUGUCUGGUGGGUAGUUUGACUGGGGCGGUCUCCUCCUAAAGAGUAACGGAGGAGCACGAAGGUUGGCUAAUCCUGGUCGGACAUCAGGAGGUUAGUGCAAUGGCAUAAGCCAGCUUGACUGCGAGCGUGACGGCGCGAGCAGGUGCGAAAGCAGGUCAUAGUGAUCCGGUGGUUCUGAAUGGAAGGGCCAUCGCUCAACGGAUAAAAGGUACUCCGGGGAUAACAGGCUGAUACCGCCCAAGAGUUCAUAUCGACGGCGGUGUUUGGCACCUCGAUGUCGGCUCAUCACAUCCUGGGGCUGAAGUAGGUCCCAAGGGUAUGGCUGUUCGCCAUUUAAAGUGGUACGCGAGCUGGGUUUAGAACGUCGUGAGACAGUUCGGUCCCUAUCUGCCGUGGGCGCUGGAGAACUGAGGGGGGCUGCUCCUAGUACGAGAGGACCGGAGUGGACGCAUCACUGGUGUUCGGGUUGUCAUGCCAAUGGCACUGCCCGGUAGCUAAAUGCGGAAGAGAUAAGUGCUGAAAGCAUCUAAGCACGAAACUUGCCCCGA